This 246-nucleotide ribosomal RNA is filed under the name uncultured Lactobacillus sp. Its description in RNAcentral is "partial 16S ribosomal RNA". It matches the Rfam family "Bacterial small subunit ribosomal RNA", at positions 116 to 354 of the family's 1533-position model. Lineage: Bacteria; Bacillati; Bacillota; Bacilli; Lactobacillales; Lactobacillaceae. The record is from RNAcentral.
CGUGGGUAACCUGCCCAAGAGAUCGGGAUAACACCUGGAAACAGAUGCUAAUACCGGAUAACAACAGAUGAUGCCUAUCAACUGUUUAAAAGAUGGUUCUGCUAUCACUCUUGGAUGGACCUGCGGUGCAUUAGCUAGUUGGUAGGGUAACGGCCUACCAAGGCGAUGAUGCAUAACCGAGUUGAGAGACUGAUCGGCCACAUUGGGACUGAGACACGGCCCAAACUCCUACGGGAGGCAGCAGAU